Molecule: ribosomal RNA, 469 nt
Filed under: uncultured bacterium
Lineage: Bacteria
Description: partial 16S ribosomal RNA
Rfam family: Bacterial small subunit ribosomal RNA
Source: RNAcentral
GAUGAACGCUGGCGGCGCGCCUAACACAUGCAAGUCGAACGGUUAAAGCACCUUUUAGGUGUGUAUAAAGUGGCGAACGGCUGAGUAACACGUGGGCAACCUGCCCUCCUCUUGGGGAUAGCCUCGGGAAACCGAGGAUAAUACCCGAUACUUCAAUGUGGCCGCAUGACGACAUUGAGAAAGCUUUUGCGGAGAAGGAUGGGCCCGCGGCCUGUUAGCUUGUUGGUGGGGUAGAGGCCUACCAAGGCAAUGAUGGGUAGCUGGGUUGAGAGACCGACCACCCAGAUUGGGACUGAGACACGGCCCAGACUCCUACGGGAGGCAGCAGUGGGGAAUCUUGCACAAUGGGCGAAAGCCUGAUGCAGCGACGCCGCGUGCGGGACGAAGGCCUUCGGGUUGUAAACCGCUUUCAGCAGGGACGAGGCGAUAAGUGACGGUACCUGCAGAAGAAGCCCCGGCUAACUACGUG